CCUACGGGAGGCAGCAGUAGGGAAUUUUCGUCAAUGGGCGCAAGCCUGAACGAGCAAUGCCGCGUGAACGAGGAAGGUCUUCGGAUCGUAAAGUUCUGUUGAAGGGGAAAAAGAGCGGAGAGAGGAAAUGCUUUCUGAUUGAUAUUACCCUUCGAGGAAGUCACGGCUAACUACGUGCCAGCAGCCGCGGUAAUACGUAGGUGGCGAGCGUUAACCGGAAUUAUUGGGCGUAAAGCGAGCGUAGGCGGCCUGUUAAGUCUGGGGUGAAAGGUACCGGCUCAACCGGGACAGGCCCUGGAAACUGGCGAGCUUGAGAGCAGGAGAGGGCGGUAGAACUCCAGGUGUAGCGGUAAAAUGCGUAGAUAUAUGGAAGAACACCAGUGGCGAAGGCGGCCGCCUGGCCUGUUACUGACGCUGAGGUGCGAAAGCGUGGGGAGCAAAUAGGAUUAGAUACCCGGGUAGUC
RNAcentral lists this ribosomal RNA (464 nucleotides) under uncultured bacterium. RNAcentral's name for it is "partial 16S ribosomal RNA". It matches the Rfam family "Bacterial small subunit ribosomal RNA", at positions 338 to 795 of the family's 1533-position model. The record is from RNAcentral.